AAUGGGUCAGCGACUUAUAUUCUGUAGCAAGGUUAACCGAAUAGGGGAGCCGAAGGGAAACCGAGUCUUAACUGGGCGUUAAGUUGCAGGGUAUAGACCCGAAACCCGGUGAUCUAGCCAUGGGCAGGUUGAAGGUUGGGUAACACUAACUGGAGGACCGAACCGACUAAUGUUGAAAAAUUAGCGGAUGACUUGUGGCUGGGGGUGAAAGGCCAAUCAAACCGGGAGAUAGCUGGUUCUCCCCGAAAGCUAUUUAGGUAGCGCCUCGUGAAUUCAUCUCCGGGGGUAGAGCACUGUUUCGGCAAGGGGGUCAUCCCGACUUACCAACCCGAUGCAAACUGCGAAUACCGGAGAAUGUUAUCACGGGAGACACACGGCGGGUGCUAACGUCCGUCGUGAAGAGGGAAACAACCCAGACCGCCAGCUAAGGUCCCAAAGUCAUGGUUAAGUGGGAAACGAUGUGGGAAGGCCCAGACAGCCAGGAUGUUGGCUUAGAAGCAGCCAUCAUUUAAAGAAAGCGUAAUAGCUCACUGGUCGAGUCGGCCUGCGCGGAAGAUGUAACGGGGCUAAACCAUGCACCGAAGCUGCGGCAGCGACGCUGAUGCGUUGUUGGGUAGGGGAGCGUUCUGUAAGCCUGUGAAGGUGUGCUGUGAGGCAUGCUGGAGGUAUCAGAAGUGCGAAUGCUGACAUAAGUAACGAUAAAGCGGGUGAAAAGCCCGCUCGCCGGAAGACCAAGGGUUCCUGUCCAACGUUAAUCGGGGCAGGGUGAGUCGACCCCUAAGGCGAGGCCGAAAGGCGUAGUCGAUGGGAAACAGGUUAAUAUUCCUGUACUUGGUGUUACUGCGAAGGGGGGACGGAGAAGGCUAUGUU
RNAcentral lists this ribosomal RNA (870 nucleotides) under Escherichia coli. RNAcentral's name for it is "partial 23S ribosomal RNA". It matches the Rfam family "Bacterial large subunit ribosomal RNA", at positions 614 to 1488 of the family's 2925-position model. The record is from RNAcentral. Lineage: Bacteria; Pseudomonadati; Pseudomonadota; Gammaproteobacteria; Enterobacterales; Enterobacteriaceae.